This 412-nucleotide ribosomal RNA is filed under the name uncultured microorganism. RNAcentral describes it as "bacterial SSU rRNA". It matches the Rfam family "Bacterial small subunit ribosomal RNA", at positions 9 to 417 of the family's 1533-position model. The record is from RNAcentral.
GAGUUUGAUCCUGGCUCAGAUUGAACGCUGGCGGCAUGCCCUACACAUGCAAGUCGAACGGCAGCAUGAUCUAGCUUGCUAGAUUGAUGGCGAGUGGCGAACGGGUGAGUAAUACAUCGGAACGUGCCCUGUAGUGGGGGAUAACUAGUCGAAAGAUUAGCUAAUACCGCAUACGACCUGAGGGUGAAAGUGGGGGACCGCAAGGCCUCAUGCUAUAGGAGCGGCCGAUGUCUGAUUAGCUAGUUGGUGGGGUAAAGGCCCACCAAGGCGACGAUCAGUAGCUGGUCUGAGAGGACGAUCAGCCACACUGGGACUGAGACACGGCCCAGACUCCUACGGGAGGCAGCAGUGGGGAAUUUUGGACAAUGGGCGAAAGCCUGAUCCAGCAAUGCCGCGUGUGUGAAGAAGGCCU